AUCAUCCUAAGAGAUCUAUUCAGAAAUGGAAGCUGUUCUUUAAGAAGUAACAGGACUGUACAUCCUUGAAAUUCUUCAUGCAAUGAUUAAAUGAUCAUAUCUUAAAUAUAAUUGGAAUACAGCAUGCUUAAGAAAUCCUGAUCUCUAGCAACACUUCAAGAAGGUGAGACUACUUCCAGCCAGAAGGAUUAGAAAAAGCCAGAGCACAAGAUACAUGAAAGAAAGUGCUGAGAUAAGGUAUAGAGCUGGAAAGAGCUCAUAGACCGUUUAUACCAAUUCUAUCACUUCAUACCUGAGUAAUAUGUGACUUUGAGAAGAGUUUCAGAGGUAACAUUUGAACCUAGGAUUUCUAAUCACAAAGCUAAAGUUCUUUACACUAUACCAAAAAUCAU
Sarcophilus harrisii (Tasmanian devil) is the source of this 392-nucleotide long non-coding RNA. RefSeq lists it as uncharacterized. The transcript has 3 exons. The record is from RefSeq and is a predicted model, not a curated record. Lineage: Eukaryota; Metazoa; Chordata; Mammalia; Dasyuromorphia; Dasyuridae.